This 207-nucleotide ribosomal RNA is filed under the name uncultured bacterium. Its description in RNAcentral is "partial 16S ribosomal RNA". It matches the Rfam family "Bacterial small subunit ribosomal RNA", at positions 568 to 774 of the family's 1533-position model. The record is from RNAcentral.
UGCGUAGGCGGAAGAUUAAGUCAGUGAUGAAAUCCUGCAGCUCAACUGUAGAACUGUUAUUGAUACUGAUCUUCUUGAAUACGGUUGAGGUAGGCGGAACAUGUAAUGUAGCGGUGAAAUGCUUAGAUAUUACAUAGAACACCGAUUGCGAAGGCAGCUUACUAAGCCGUGAUUGACGCUGAGGCACGAAAGCGUGGGGAGCGAACA